UCCGGCCCGAGCUGCUGCCGCCGCUGCUGCUGCCUCGAGCUGCCCGGGGCUCGCGAGGCACCGGGAAGCGCGAGGAAAUGAUCGCGUGGCUCUAAUUAAACGGACUAGUUAAUGAGAAAACCCGGCACGAGGAGACAACAACCCGCCCCCUCCCUCCUCCUCCUCCUCCUCCUCCUCCUCUUGCUGCUGCUCUUCCUCCCCUGCUAUGGCUCCUCGCUCCGUCUGCUCUCGUGCUGCGGACCGAUGUGGGGACGGGAGGAGAAGAAGAGGAAGAGGAGAACCCGGGAAAACCCUUUUCCCGUGAAGACUUCAUGAUUUUCAUUUUUUAACAUACAUAUAUUAAUCUGUCAGCGCGAGGAUGUAGAUGAUGAUGAUGAUGAUGAUGGCGGCGGCGGUGAUGAAGAUGACAACGGUGUUUUGACGACUGGGUGACAACGGGAAACGCACCUCCCCCCCCCCCCUCCUCCUCCUCAUCCUCACCACUUCGCGCCGACACCCCUCCAUCCAAUUAGCAUCCAUCCAUCCGGCUGGGCUGUCUCGUGCCAUUCCGGGAAGCUUGACUUGCCUGCACGCGGGACACCGAGCUGAACUGCAGGUGUGUGGGGCUCGUGACGGAUUAUCAACAAACGAUAGCACGAAGAUUCCCGAAGAGGUCAAAAAACCUGUGGCGUCAGAAGGAAGGGGAGGGAGAGAGAGAGAGAGAGGAGACACAGGAGCACAGCUGUCGAUGUGUUGGAGGAUUAAAGAAGAAAAAGAAAACGCAGAAGAAGAAAGAGAAGAAGAAGUGAUAACUGUGGAAAUGGAUGCGACGACGCGGGAAAGGAGAGGAGGAUUCACGCGCUGCAGAGGACCACACACAAGACCCCUUCUGCCAGGAGAGAGAGACAGACAGAGGAGGAGGAGAAGAAGACGUCUUGGAAGACACUUGGAAACCCCCCCCACCCCCCCCCCCCCCCCCCCUCACACACACACACACACACACACACACAUAAACACUCAUACACACACCUCCCCUUCCCACCCAUCAGCAAGCUAUUUUUUACACCCCACAAGUAUCCUACUAUAAGAAAAAACUUUUUUCUUCGUCAUUGGAAAGAAGAAAAUCCUUCUAAAGAAACUCAAACAGUCAGAGAGCCGGCUGCGCGCGGAGGACGAUGGCCCGCAGGUCGCUUCACGUGCUGCUUAAGUUCUUAGGAGCUUUGUGGAGGCCGCUUUCAGCCAUCAGAACUCCGGGACAUAGGAGGAACUCUCCCGGUGAGUGCACAUCUGUAUGAGGUUUGAAAUCUGUGAAGUCAAUCAUCAAAACGUCAAAGGAGACAGAAUGCGGCUGUUUUCGUUAAUUCAGUUUCUGAUCAUUAAUCUGAGGUCAGACCGAGUUUUUCU
Non-coding RNA from Labrus bergylta (ballan wrasse), 1383 nucleotides. The record is from RefSeq and is a predicted model, not a curated record. NCBI's taxonomy places the organism in Eukaryota, Metazoa, Chordata, Actinopteri, Labriformes, Labridae.